CAGAGAGAAAUCAGAAGAGAUGAAAUGACCAAUGUCAUCCAGAAGCAAAGAGCACAGGAGAGCAGAGUGUAAUGUGAAGAUGUAAUGGAAGAUGUAAUAGAAAAGGUUUUCAAUCUUGUUCCAUCAACACUGCUAAGCCUACACGUGACUGUGACAGUGAUAUGAUGGUAUCAUGGCAGUGCCCUGUCUCCAUACUUCAUGAGCUUGUGGAAGACGUGGCAGUAUUCCAUGGACAGGUGUUGUAUUACAGAAGUUUAUCCAUCCGGUUGGAUACGCAGAUGUACAAAUGGGCGAAAGAGACAGCAAGGGAGGAAUACUGCUCCAAUUAAUAUCUUGAAACAGUGUCUUGGUCUCUGUAAGUUGUCAUCAUGUGCACCAUCUGUAGGGCAGAUGGGCAGGGUUGGUUUAUUUGGAAAAGAGUAUUUUUUCAGAAAUGGAUGUGUGAAAGAACCGUAUAAAUUCAGGUUAAGGGCCUAAGAGGGGUGUUUAAACUUAAAGCUUAAUAGCUAAGACAUAAGGGCUGCAUGAAGAAAUAUUUGCAAUACUUCCUCUGUCCUUGUCCUUUGCCUUGCUUUGUCCUUUGUAACACUUUUUCGUAGAAUUGUUUAAUAUCUUAGUUUAUGCAAGCAGGGGCCCUGAAACAGUGGUUUCGGAGUAAGAAGGACGCGACCUAACCCUGAUAAUUCCAGGGAAAAGGAAACUUAGGAGCAUACUGACCUAAUGGG
This 725-nucleotide long non-coding RNA is filed under the name Salvator merianae (Argentine black and white tegu). Its description in RNAcentral is "lncRNA (ENSSMRG00000022740.1)". The record is from RNAcentral. Lineage: Eukaryota; Metazoa; Chordata; Lepidosauria; Squamata; Teiidae.